RNA transcript from Saccostrea cuccullata (small rock oyster), 2047 nucleotides. RefSeq lists it as uncharacterized. The record is from RefSeq and is a predicted model, not a curated record. Lineage: Eukaryota; Metazoa; Mollusca; Bivalvia; Ostreida; Ostreidae. The transcript is spliced from 6 exons.
UCUUGUGAUGUAUAUUCAAAAUCUUGUGAUGUAUGUUCAAUAUCUUGUGAUGUAUAUUCAAAAACUUGUGAUGUAUAUUUUAUAAUCUUGUGAUGUAUGUUCAAAAUCUUGUGAUGUAUAUUCAAUAAUCUUGUGAUGCAUGUUCGAAAUCUUGUGAUGUAUAUUCGAAAUCUUGUGAUGUAUAUUCUAUAAUCUUGUGAUGUAUGUUCGAAAUCUUGUGAUGUAUAUUCGAAAUCUUGUGAUGUAUAUUCUAUAAUCUUGUGAUGUAUGUUCGAAAUCUUGUGAUGUAUAUUCGAAAUCUUGUGAUGUAUGUUCGAUAAUCUUGUGAUGUAUAUUCGAAAUCUUGUGAUGUGUGUUCUACAAUUCAGCGAUGCGUGCAAUAUGACGCAACAGUACUUCAGUAAAGUAAGGACAAUUUUCAUUGGUUGGAAAUAACGAAAGUAGCUGAAGCGAUUGUUUACCAUGUUUACGGGAAAACUAUAUUUAUUACAGCACUAAUUACGAGAUGCACGAGUGUUGACCCUGGUGACAUGAUGGAGAUAUUUCGGCCUGCUAGGGAAAAAACUCAGUAAACGUAGAUAUAUUGACAAAAUUUGUAGACGAGCUGAUCGCCAACCAGGAGAUCAGAAUGAUCGCACCUGCUCCUGCCACUUUAAGGAUGGUAAGAAGGAGGGGGACCCUGCAUAUUUUGCAUGGAAUGAAGGAAAGGCCAUGGAUUUCUCUGAUCCUGAAUGUACAAAAAGGAGGAAAAAACUCAAAAGUGAGGAGUCCCUGUCAUCUCACAGAUGGACCAGUUGCAGAUUUUAAAAGCACCAAAAUGUCAAGAUCAAGAAAAAUUGAUAUCAGAGCACAACUACUCAGCAUCCUGCACAUUUAACUGUACUCAAGAAAUGCAGCGCCUCUCAACAGAAAUACGACAACUGGAAAAGGAAUUCUUGCCCUAAAAAUAGAGUCUAGUAAAAGGAAGCCAAUGUCAAUUCACUAUAUUAAAGACAACGAAGAGAAGAUGCUUUUGUAUACAUCCCUACAGUAUGACAGAUAUAUUCGAAAUCUUAGUCAGAUUGUUACAACGAUUUGAACUCGAUUAUUAAAUGGUUGGACUCCUUCAAUGAAAACAGAGGACCAACUGCUCAUUGUACUAAUGAAGUUAAAACUCAAUCUACGGGACACUGACUUGGCUCAUAGAUUCUGUGUCAAUCGACCAACAAUUUCGAACUUCUUUCAUACCCUUGUUCAUGCACUUCACAAGAUGCUGUCUGAUCGCGAAGUCAAUGAAUGUUUUCCAAGUCAGCUUAAAUGCAAAGGGUCUCUGCCAAAAUUUUUUGAGGAUUUUUCCUCUGCUAGAGCAUCCAUGGAUGCAAUUGAAACAACCCAGGACAUCCCAACACAUAUGGCCAAUCAGGCCAUGGCCUACAGUAUGUACAAAAGUCGCCAUACUGUUAAAGCGGUAACUUGCGUGGCUCCAAAUGGUGCACUUACAUUUUGCUCCAUGCUGUACCCAGGUUCUACUUCUGAUGUAGCUAUUGUACGUCACAGCCAAGUUUUACGAAAGUUCAAAGCUGGAGACCUUAUUUUGGCGGUCAAAGGUUUCACCAUUCAUGACCAGUUGCCCCAGGGUGUCUGCUUAAAUAUACCAGCUUUUUUAUCGACAUGAGGCCAGUUUACCAAACAAGAAGCAGCACUGUGUUACAAGAUUGCUAAAGCACGUAUUCAUGUGGAAAGAGCCAACGAGAGGAUAAAGAAUUACAAGAUUCUCUGUCACAUCCCAUCUACUUACAGACCAAUCUCAACAAAAAUAUUUCAACUCUGUUCUUGUCUUGUAAACUUGCAAGCUCCAGUUUUGAAAGAAAUUACUUAAAGAUACAUGUACUUAUUAUAAAUUUGCAUUGGUGUGUGACAGUAUGUUACACUAAACAGUAAAGAUAUUCAUACCAAAGUGCAAAGGAUAAGCAAAUUUUGAUUUGUUAUCAAUGUCAAUGGUUAUAUUUGUUAACUUUGUAGUAUGUUGUAAUACAUGUACUUCAGAAAAUGAAAAUCCCUUUUGUUA